GACAACUGGCAGGAUGUCGGAGAACGCCUUGUCCUUCAAAGCAGAUGCGUCGGAUAACAAAGCCCGCUAUACUUGCGAGGCAAAGAACGUAAUGAUCAGCAACACACUGAAGGCGGAGAUUGACUUAACUGUUCUGUUCGCUCCAUCCCACGUGACGAUAUCCGGCCCCUCCGAAGCGAGAGUGGGGACCCAGUGCCCCUGACCUGCAGUACAGCACCUUCCAACCCUGCAGCGGAGAUCAAAUGGGUGGUCCUCGGAAAACAGCAUAAGGAGGCAAACAAUAGAACUGCUAUAUCGCCUGAAGGUGGCUGGGUGACCACAUCCAACGUGACGGUGAUGGUGGAGCCGAAACGCACUUCCGUGGUGGUGGUAUGCCAUGGUAUCAACGGACAACUGGCAGAGAACGUGGUAGCAACACAUACCAUCAACGUGCUGUGUA
Manduca sexta (tobacco hornworm) is the source of this 439-nucleotide long non-coding RNA. RefSeq lists it as uncharacterized. The record is from RefSeq and is a predicted model, not a curated record. Lineage: Eukaryota; Metazoa; Arthropoda; Insecta; Lepidoptera; Sphingidae. The transcript is spliced from 3 exons.